UACGGGGGGGGCAAGCGUUGUUCGGAAUUACUGGGCGUAAAGGGCGCGUAGGCGGCCAUCUAAGUCAGACGUGAAAUCCCCAGGCUUAACCUGGGAACUGCGUCUGAUACUGGAAGGCUUGAGUUCGGGAGAGGGAUGUGGAAUUCCAGGUGUAGCGGUGAAAUGCGUAGAUAUCUGGAGGAACACCGGUGGCGAAGGCGGCAUCCUGGACCGAAACUGACACUGAGGCGCGAAAGCCAGGGGAGCAAACGGG
RNAcentral lists this ribosomal RNA (253 nucleotides) under uncultured bacterium. RNAcentral describes it as "partial 16S ribosomal RNA". It matches the Rfam family "Bacterial small subunit ribosomal RNA", at positions 524 to 776 of the family's 1533-position model. The record is from RNAcentral.